GAUCCAGCAAUGCCGCGUGUGUGAAGAAGGCCUUCGGGUUGUAAAGCACUUUUGUCCGGAAAGAAAUGGCUCUGGCUAAUACCUGGGGUGGAUGACGGUACCGGAAGAAUAAGCACCGGCUAACUACGUGCCAGCAGCCGCGGUAAUACGUAGGGUGCAAGCGUUAAUCGGAAUUACUGGGCGUAAAGCGUGCGCAGGCGGUUGUGUAAGACCGAUGUGAAAUCCCCGGGCUUAACCUGGGAAUUGCAUUGGUGACUGCAYGGCUAGAGUGUGUCAGAGGGGGGUAGAAUUCCACGUGUAGCAGUGAAAUGCGUAGAGAUGUGGAGGAAUACCGAUGGCGAAGGCAGCCCCCUGGGAUAACACUGACGCUCAUGCACGAAAGCGUGGGGAGCAAACAGGAUUAGAUACCCUGGUAGUCCACGCCCUAAACGAUGUCAACUGGUUGUUGGGGAUUCAUUUCCUUAGUAACGUAGCUAACGCGUGAAGUUGACCGCCUGGGGAGUACGGUCGCAAGAUUA
RNAcentral lists this ribosomal RNA (518 nucleotides) under Ralstonia pickettii. RNAcentral describes it as "bacterial SSU rRNA". It matches the Rfam family "Bacterial small subunit ribosomal RNA", at positions 385 to 896 of the family's 1533-position model. RNAcentral also lists the same sequence under 1 other name. The record is from RNAcentral. Lineage: Bacteria; Pseudomonadati; Pseudomonadota; Betaproteobacteria; Burkholderiales; Burkholderiaceae.